This 586-nucleotide ribosomal RNA is filed under the name uncultured Paludibacter sp. Its description in RNAcentral is "bacterial SSU rRNA". It matches the Rfam family "Bacterial small subunit ribosomal RNA", at positions 11 to 589 of the family's 1533-position model. Lineage: Bacteria; Pseudomonadati; Bacteroidota; Bacteroidia; Bacteroidales; Paludibacteraceae. The record is from RNAcentral.
GUUUGAUCCUGGCUCAGGAUGAACGCUAGCGACAGGCCUAACACAUGCAAGUCGAGGGGCAGCACGAAUCAAGCUUGCUUGAUUUGGUGGCGACCGGCGCACGGGUGCGUAACAGGUGUGCAAUCUGUCCAUAAUCGGGGAAUAGCCCAGCGAAAGUUGGAUUAAUGCUCCAUGUGAGUUUUAGAGGCAUCUCUUUAAUUUGAAACGUAAGGAUUAUGGGUGAGCACGCUUCUGAUUAGGUAGUUGGUGAGGUAACGGCUCACCAAGCCGACGAUCAGUAGGGGUUCUGAGAGGAAGGUCCCCCACAUUGGAACUGAGACACGGUCCAAACUCCUACGGGAGGCAGCAGUGAGGAAUAUUGGUCAAUGGACGGAAGUCUGAACCAGCCAAGUCGCGUGAAGGAUGAAGGUUCUAUGGAUUGUAAACUUCUUUUGUCUGAGGGUAAAAAAGCGGACGUGUCCGUUCUUGCAAGUAUCAGACGAAUAAGCAUCGGCUAACUCCGUGCCAGCAGCCGCGGUAAUACGGAGGAUGCGAGCGUUAUCCGGAUUUAUUGGGUUUAAAGGGUGCGUAGGCGGGUUGCUAAGUC